CCAGACAGCCAGGAUGUUGGCUUAGAAGCAGCCAUCAUUUAAAGAAAGCGUAAUAGCUCACUGGUCGAGUCGGCCUGCGCGGAAGAUGUAACGGGGCUAAACCAUGCACCGAAGCUGCGGCAGCGACGCUUAUGCGUUGUUGGGUAGGGGAGCGUUCUGUAAGCCUGCGAAGGUGUGCUGUGAGGCAUGCUGGAGGUAUCAGAAGUGCGAAUGCUGACAUAAGUAACGAUAAAGCGGGUGAAAAGCCCGCUCGCCGGAAGACCAAGGGUUCCUGUCCAACGUUAAUCGGGGCAGGGUGAGUCGACCCCUAAGGCGAGGCCGAAAGGCGUAGUCGAUGGGAAACAGGUUAAUAUUCCUGUACUUGGUGUUACUGCGAAGGGGGGACGGAGAAGGCUAUGUUGGCCGGGCGACGGUUGUCCCGGUUUAAGCGUGUAGGCUGGUUUUCCAGGCAAAUCCGGAAAAUCAAGGCUGAGGCGUGAUGACGAGGCACUACGGUGCUGAAGCAACAAAUGCCCUGCUUCCAGGAAAAGCCUCUAAGCAUCAGGUAACAUCAAAUCGUACCCCAAACCGACACAGGUGGUCAGGUAGAGAAUACCAAGGCGCUUGAGAGAACUCGGGUGAAGGAACUAGGCAAAAUGGUGCCGUAACUUCGGGAGAAGGCACGCUGAUAUGUAGGUGAAG
Molecule: ribosomal RNA, 681 nt
Filed under: Escherichia coli
Lineage: Bacteria; Pseudomonadati; Pseudomonadota; Gammaproteobacteria; Enterobacterales; Enterobacteriaceae
Description: partial 23S ribosomal RNA
Rfam family: Bacterial large subunit ribosomal RNA
Source: RNAcentral